This 420-nucleotide ribosomal RNA is filed under the name bacterium. RNAcentral describes it as "partial 16S ribosomal RNA". It matches the Rfam family "Bacterial small subunit ribosomal RNA", at positions 355 to 776 of the family's 1533-position model. The record is from RNAcentral.
UGGGGGAUAUUGCACAAUGGGCGAAAGCCUGAUGCAGCGACGCCGCGUGGGGGAUGAAGGCUUUCGGGUUGUAAACCUCUUUCGCUAUCGAACAAGGCCCGCUUAGGGUGGGUUGAGGGUAGGUGGAGAAGAAGCGCCGGCUAACUACGUGCCAGCAGCCGCGGUAAUACGUAGGGCGCGAGCGGUGUCCGGCAUUAUUGGGCGUAAAGGGCGUGUAGGCGGAUUGUUGCGCGUGCUGUGAAAACGCGGGGCUUAACUUCGCGCGUGGAGUGGGUACGGGCAGGCUUGAGUGUGGUAGGGGUGACUGGAAUUCCAGGUGUAGCGGUGGAAUGCGCAGAUAUCUGGAGGAGCACCGAUGGCGAAGGCAGGGCACUGGGCCAUUACUGACGCUGAGGAGCGAAAGCAUGGGUAGCGAAGAGG